CCCAUUUAAACGAAGACUCCAUAACCCCUUCACAACCAUUGAAAUCUCUGGAAACUUCUGAAAAUUUGAGCAGCGAGAAAGAUUGACAUCUCUAAGGCACUUGAGUUCCCAGAUGCCACAUGGAAGACUUUUAAGACCUCGGCAACCUUCUAGGUUCAAAGAUUCGACCCCGGAAAGAUUUAUAAUUGAUGAGGGAAGUUCUUUAAUUGCUGUCUUAUCUAAACAAAGGUAAGUGAACCCUUCUGUAACUUUUGAAAUCUCAGGAAACUUCUCAAAACUUGAGCAGCCAGAAAGAGAAACAUUUCUAAGAGACUUGAGUUGGCAGAUGCUGCUUGGAAGACUUUGAAGCCUUAGACAACCAUUUAGCUUCAAAGUAUUCAGCCCGGAAAGAUUUUCAAUUGACGAGGGUAGUUCCUGAAUUGCAGUCCCAUCUAAAUAAAGGCACCAGAGCUCUUCCAUAACUUCUAAAAUCUCUGGAAACUUCUCAAGAUUUGAGCAGCCAGAAAGAGUAACAUAUCUAAGGGACUUGAGUUGACAGAUACUGCUCGGGAGACUUUUAAGCUUCACGCAACCUUUCAAGUCCAAAGUAACAAGCUCUGUAAGAUUUUUAAUUGACGACGGCAAUUCUUCAAUUGCAGUCCCAUUUAAACGAAGACUCCAUAACCCCUUCACAACCAUUUGAAAUCUCUGGAAACUUCUGAAAAUUUGAGCAGCGAGAAAGAUUGACAUCUCUAAGGCACUUGAGUUCCCAGAUGCCACAUGGAAGACUUUUAAGACCUCGGCAACCUUCUAGGUUCAAAGAUUCGACCCCGGAAAGAUUUAUAAUUGAUGAGGGAAGUUCUUUAAUUGCUGUCUUAUCUAAACAAAGGUAAGUGAACCCUUCUGUAACUUUUGAAAUCUCAGGAAACUUCUCAAAACUUGAGCAGCCAGAAAGAGAAACAUUUCUAAGAGACUUGAGUUGGCAGAUGCUGCUUGGAAGACUUUGAAGCCUUAGACAACCAUUUAGCUUCAAAGUAUUCAGCCCGGAAAGAUUUUCAAUUGACGAGGGUAGUUCCUGAAUUGCAGUCCCAUCUAAAUAAAGGCACCAGAGCUCUUCCAUAACUUCUAAAAUCUCUGGAAACUUCUCAAGAUUUGAGCAGCCAGAAAGAGUAACAUAUCUAAGGGACUUGAGUUUGACAGAUACUGCUCGGGAGACUUUUAAGCUUCACGCAACCUUUCAAGUCCAAAGUAACAAGCUCUGUAAGAUUUUUUAAUUGACGACGGCAAUUCUUCAAUUGCAGUCCCAUUUAAACGAAGACUCCAUAACCCCUUCACAACCAUUGAAAUCUCUGGAAACUUCUGAAAAUUUGAGCAGCGAGAAAGAUUGACAUCUCUAAGGCACUUGAGUUCCCAGAUGCCACAUGGAAGACUUUUAAGACCUCGGCAACCUUCUAGGUUCAAAGAUUCGACCCCCGGAAAGAUUUAUAAUUGAUGAGGGAAGUUCUUUAAUUGCUGUCUUAUCUAAACAAAGGUAAGUGAACCCUUCUGUAACUUUUGAAAUCUCAGGAAACUUCUCAAAACUUGAGCAGCCAGAAAGAGAAACAUUUCUAAGAGACUUGAGUUGGCAGAUGCUGCUUGGAAGACUUUGAAGCCUUAGACAACCAUUUAGCUUCAAAGUAUUCAGCCCGGAAAGAUUUUCAAUUGACGAGGGUAGUUCCUGAAUUGCAGUCCCAUCUAAAUAAAGGCACCAGAGCUCUUCCAUAACUUCUAAAAUCUCUGGAAACUUCUCAAGAUUUGAGCAGCCAGAAAGAGUAACAUAUCUAAGGGACUUGAGUUGACAGAUACUGCUCGGGAGACUUUUAAGCUUCACGCAACCUUUCAAGUCCAAAGUAACAAGCUCUGUAAGAUUUUUAAUUGACGACGGCAAUUCUUCAAUUGCAGUCCCAUUUAAACGAAGACUCCAUAACCCCUUCACAACCAUUGAAAUCUCUGGAAACUUCUGAAAAUUUGAGCAGCGAGAAAGAUUGACAUCUCUAAGGCACUUGAGUUCCCAGAUGCCACAUGGAAGACUUUUAAGACCUCGGCAACCUUCUAGGUUCAAAGAUUCGACCCGGAAAGAUUUAUAAUUGAUGAGGGAAGUUCUUUAAUUGCUGUCUUAUCUAAACAAAGGUAAGUGAACCCUUCUGUAACUUUUGAA
Molecule: long non-coding RNA, 2176 nt
Filed under: Malus domestica (apple)
Lineage: Eukaryota; Viridiplantae; Streptophyta; Magnoliopsida; Rosales; Rosaceae
Description: long non-coding RNA (MDOM_LNC003521)
Source: RNAcentral